GGGUUAAGUCCCAUAACGAGCGCAACCCUUAUCGUUAGUUGCCAGCGGGUCAUGCCGGGAACUCUAACGAAACUGCCGGUGUAAACCGUGAGGAAGGUGGGGAUGACGUCAAAUCAGCAGGCCCUUAUGUCCAGGGCUACACACGUGUUACAAUGGCCGGUACAGAGGGCAGCUACCUGGAGACAGGAUGCGAAUCUCCAAAGCCGGUCUCAGUUCGGAUCGGAGUCUGCAACUCGACUCCGUGAAGCUGGAUUCGCUAGUAAUCGCGCAUCAGCCAUGGCCGCGGUCCGAAUACGUUCCCGGGCCUU
This 308-nucleotide ribosomal RNA is filed under the name uncultured Sphingobacteriales bacterium. RNAcentral describes it as "bacterial SSU rRNA". It matches the Rfam family "Bacterial small subunit ribosomal RNA", at positions 1077 to 1382 of the family's 1533-position model. The record is from RNAcentral. Lineage: Bacteria; Pseudomonadati; Bacteroidota; Sphingobacteriia; Sphingobacteriales.